This 390-nucleotide unclassified non-coding RNA is filed under the name soil metagenome. Its description in RNAcentral is "partial contains 5.8S ribosomal RNA, internal transcribed spacer 2, and large subunit ribosomal RNA". The stretch from base 1 to 121 matches the Rfam family "5.8S ribosomal RNA", at positions 35 to 154 of the family's 154-position model. The record is from RNAcentral.
GAUGAAGACGUAGCGAAAUGCGAUACUUGGUGUGAAUUGCAGAAUCCCGUGAACCAUCGAGUCUUUGAACGCAAGUUGCGCCCGAAGCCAUUAGGCCGAGGGCACGCCUGCCUGGGCGUCACACGUCGUUGCCCCCCCAUCUACUCCUUCGGGAUUGCGGGGGGCGGAUGAUGGCCUCCCGUGCGCCUCGUCGCGCGGUUGGCCUAAAUGCCAAGUCCUCGGCGACGCACGCCACGACAAUCGGUGGUUGCGAAACCUCGGUUGCCUGUCGUGUGCGGUCGUCGCGCAUCGAGGGCUCGAAAAAAUUGCCGGGCUUCGGCUCGACUUUCAACGCGACCCCAGGUCAGGCGGGGUUACCCGCUGAAUUUAAGCAUAUCAAUAAGCGGAGGA